UUAUUUCUUUCUCUAAUCAGCACACAGAUGUCAUUUGUGUCAUCCUUGAACAAUUCCGGCGUGGCUGGAGGGUUGAGAUGACUUUGAUAUGCUCUCAGUUAUAUUGGGUAUAUUACUUAAAUCUGUCUUUGAUUUUCUUGUUUGCUUUUUUGAUGGGUGAGGUUUUUGGGAUGCUUUGCUUGCUGUCUGAUCCACAUUCACCAUGCUGGAACUGUACCAUGUAAAUAAUAGGACGUGCUCUGGUUUUCUUUUUCAGAAGGCAAAAAACAAUGGUUAACAUUUAGCCGGGAUAUGCUGCUACACUCUCGAUUUCUAUCAAAUACUGGCAUAUUUUCAAGAGUAUCUUCAUGGCAAACUUUUGGUGAAUGGUUUGGAGCAGGGUUUUGAAAGUUGCCCGGCCAUGCUGAAUCGCCCGGUUCAAACAGGACCAGAAUAGGUUGGCAGGG
RNAcentral lists this long non-coding RNA (446 nucleotides) under Amborella trichopoda. Its description in RNAcentral is "long non-coding RNA (ATRI_LNC005527)". The record is from RNAcentral. Lineage: Eukaryota; Viridiplantae; Streptophyta; Magnoliopsida; Amborellales; Amborellaceae.